Long non-coding RNA from Homo sapiens (human), 2224 nucleotides. The record is from Ensembl. NCBI's taxonomy places the organism in Eukaryota, Metazoa, Chordata, Mammalia, Primates, Hominidae.
CUGGAAGAAGUGAGGCAUAAAUGCAUUAUUGCACAUAAAGUGUAAAUACCAAUUCUUUAAUUUCUAAAUUUUUAGGAUUUUAUUUUUUCUUAACUCCCCUUAAAUAAAACGUCAGGGAAAAUUUUUAGCAUAAUUGAUUUCCUGAACUAAGGGAAUAAAUUCAUUUCAGAAGUUUUGACCUUCUAAAGUGCUGUUACUUUGCCUAAAAUGGAAGUAUGGAGGAGGCAGAAUAAAAAUUGUAAGACAUUUCCAGGUGAUUAUGGGGGUUGAGAACGCUUCCAUGUGUGUGCUGUGUGUGUUGGCAAUGUCAUUAUUUCAGGAACUGCUAUGAAAAAACCAAGUUUCCCUAUGUUUGGAUGUAAAACUUCAUCUACUUUUCAGAAGCUCUCCAAAAUUAUUUACCAGCUUGAGCCUGCUCCCUCAAAAGGAGCCUCAGUUCCUAACAAAAGUGGUAAGUUGUAAAAUGUAGGUCCUAGUUUUUACUUAAGUCAAAGGUUAAUAGUAAAAGGGGGGUUGAUUCCUCACUGUUUCAAGUUAAUGUUUAUUUUUCACCAUCAUUUAAAGGAUUUUUCAGGCCGUUAUUUCACUGCUGAAAGCAGAGUAAGAGAACUCAGAUCAUGCCCCAGGGCUUGAAUAAAGGAAUAAAAACAGCACAACAUUUGCAUCUAUUUAACUGUCUCAGUUCUAAGAGUCCCCUCACAGUAAGAGGGGGGAAACCGUAUCUCUAGGUUAAAUGAAGCUUUUCUGAGAUAUUUGCCGAAAACACAAUUCAGAGAAAGAUAAUCAUUGUCAGAAAUGACCUAGGAAGUCAAGGCCUUGUGAUUGAAAACACAAAGCUUAGAAAGGUGCAUUCUCUUGCUUCUCUGCCUGCCCGGAUAUCAAUGAACAUCAGCUAAAGGUGGCUGAAGAACCAAUUUCAUGCAUCUACUGUACGAGGAAAUGAACUGAGCCAAGGGCAAAAAUAAAAUUAUACAAAUGUUAUUAUAGACUAGCCUGCUUCUGUCCUAGUUUAAUUCAAAUUUUAGUGCUGCAGGCUUUGCUUCUGGCAGUAGCCUUCCUGAAUAAAUCAACAUUUGCUUACAUCUAAAUUAUUAGGGAAGCAUGUGACUUUGUUUAUUGUAUAAAUUAUACGCAAGGUUAAAGCAUUAACUGUUGAACUGGCUUUGUUCAGUCACCUCCCCAACUCUCCCCCAAAUCAUCUCUCCCCUAAAUAGGAAAUUAAAAUCUGAAACUACUAAUUGCUUUUAGACAAACCAAAUAACAAAGCUGCAUUAUGAACCUGAGGUUACAGAUGGAGAGCACUGUUAAAGGUGUGGCAGGAGACAGUCUUGGUGUUGAGGAAAAAGAAAGGCACUCUGGCCCAAGAAAUUGUUCACCUGAGCUCUGAUGGGGUGUCUGCACAAAGGAAAAUGGUGAUCUGGUAAAUAAUCGGUUAAGUUGAUUAAGGCAGCCAACCAAAUGGGAUAAUUUAAUACAAAACUAAAGAAAGCCUUUUGGCUAGGAUUUCAGUAAGCAAGGAAUUUCAAAUUAUAUUGCAAUGUUGGACCCAAACAUUUUUAUUGCCAUUAUCUGCUAGAAAGUUAGACAUAGGCUGGAAAACACACUUAGGAACAAUGAUUUGUUUUUUGUUUGUUUGUUUGUUUGUUUGUAUUGUUUUUCUCUCUGCACAUCACUGUGAAAUGACUCCUGAAAGACCAUCCAUACUUAUUUAGAAAAUAAGCCUGGGCUUUGAUAACUAGACAAUUUGACUUUCUAAGUGUUUAGACAAGCCAGGUAUCAGGUGUGUCCUGCUAUGAGAACAUCCAAUUUAAAUAAACAUCAAGGGUUCAGAGUAGACAAAUCAGAAGGUAAUUGUUUACUUUACAAAAGGUUCUUUUUAUAAGAUCAUCCGCAAUACGCUUGUUUUUGUUGACCUUUCCCACAGUAUAAUUUGCAAAAUUAUAAUUAAAUUCAAUCUUUUCCAAAAAUAUAUGUUUUUCUUUUUCUUUCUCAAGACUUUUUGUAGAAACUCUGCAGGUCAGAAGAUUUUUGUAUGGAAUGAUCUUCUCCAAUCAAUUAUUUGAAUCUAAGAGGAAGAGAAGAUCAUCAGUGGCAAAUGGCAGUCACAGGAAAGCAACACCCACAGCCGGUUUCACACGUGUGGAGAGCACCCUGAGCCUCCUCCUCCUGGUUUCCCGUGCUCUGCAAGUUCAGAGAAACUUCUCUCACAACCAACUAUAGAAAC